Molecule: ribosomal RNA, 400 nt
Filed under: uncultured bacterium
Lineage: Bacteria
Description: bacterial SSU rRNA
Rfam family: Bacterial small subunit ribosomal RNA
Source: RNAcentral
UGGGGAAUUUUGGACAAUGGGCGAAAGCCUGAUCCAGCCAUGCCGCGUGAGUGACGAAGGCCUUAGGGUUGUAAAACUCUUUCGUCGGGGACGAUAAUGACGGUACCCGAAGAAGAAGCUCCGGCUAACUUCGUGCCAGCAGCCGCGGUAAUACGAAGGGAGCUAGCGUUGUUCGGAAUCACUGGGCGUAAAGCGCGCGUAGGCGGAUAGUUAAGUCAGGGGUGAAAUCCUGGGGCUCAACCCCAGAACUGCCUUUGAUACUGGCUGUCUCGAGGUCGAGAGAGGUUGGUGGAAUUCCUAGUGUAGAGGUGAAAUUCGUAGAUAUUAGGAAGAACACCAGUGGCGAAGGCGGCUCACUGGUCCGGUACUGACGCUGAGGUGCGAAAGCGUGGGGAGCAAA